This is a long non-coding RNA of Pocillopora damicornis (cauliflower coral), 980 nucleotides long. NCBI's taxonomy places the organism in Eukaryota, Metazoa, Cnidaria, Anthozoa, Scleractinia, Pocilloporidae. The record is from RefSeq and is a predicted model, not a curated record.
ACCAAGAGAAAACUAAACAAACAAAGGAAUCUACAAACAAACAUACUAACAAAAAUAAAACAAAUACGAAAACCAAGGGAGAGGGACACACCCUUAACAAUUUGGAAGGUUCCCUUUGUUGUCGUUCAUUCAUAUAAAAAUAAUUAUCAUCGAUUUUGAGUAGACGGUAAGAUCAUUAUAACUGAGGACUCUCCUGCACUGGAUGUGAAAGAAUACACCCGCUGGAAUGCAAUACUGGUCUCAAGGAGAAGGAAUGGGUUCUGUGAUCUUCUUUUUUUCUUUGGAAGAAAUCUGUUGAUUCACUGUUUAAUAUGUUUAACAAAUGGAAUGCUUUACAUGAUAAAGAGAGGUCUGCUACUUAUUUUGUCUUCAUUUUUCAAGUAUGGAGUAUGGAGUAAGAGAGACCACCAAAAGAGGGCAUCGAAGGCAUUAGCAUUAGCAUUUGAGAGGCAUCUCGUAGAAAAUCCUUUUAUCCUUCUAUAGAGAGACGCAAAUAUAUCGCCGAUAUUCGCCUCACUUUCCCGGUCACCGAUUUUCUAAGACGGUCCGAAAUUAACCUGGUAGUGUGGGGAUGUUACCAUUAAACUAAACCAAAUUGAAAUCACAAGGGUGCAGCCCGUGCUUAAAUGCAAAACUUGACGCAAUUGGAUAUCCUUAUCCUCCUUAAAGCGCAGACAAUAAUUAGCUCAUAUAAUCUUGAUGUCUGUAACCAUAUGUACUUUGUCUUCUAAUUUUCUCCAAAUUUCAUUUACCCAUUUUUUAUUGAGUGCACUUAUUGUACUUACAUAGUAAGCUCUUUAUUUCAACUAACAUAAAAAUAUAUAAACAGAAAAAAAAAUAUGUAUUUAAUUGGCAAUCUAGCAUUUUAACUAAUUAAAGCUAUUUCGAGCUGUCAUUUACCCUUCAUUUACAUUUUUUGGUGAUAUUGAGACUAUUGUAACUGUAGGUAGGGGAUGAAUUAUUAAAAGUGACUUGUUGUA